Molecule: ribosomal RNA, 566 nt
Filed under: uncultured Nectriaceae
Lineage: Eukaryota; Fungi; Ascomycota; Sordariomycetes; Hypocreales; Nectriaceae
Description: eukaryotic LSU rRNA
Rfam family: 5.8S ribosomal RNA (bases 196-349)
Source: RNAcentral
AGAGGAAGUAAAAGUCGUAACAAGGUCUCCGUUGGUGAACCAGCGGAGGGAUCAUUACCGAGUUUACAACUCCCAAACCCCUGUGAACAUACCUAUUUGUUGCCUCGGCGGUGCCUGUUCCGACAGCCCGCCAGAGGACCCCAAACCCUGAUUACAUUUAAGAAGUCUUCUGAGUAAACCGAUUAAAUAAAUCAAAACUUUCAACAACGGAUCUCUUGGUUCUGGCAUCGAUGAAGAACGCAGCGAAAUGCGAUAAGUAAUGUGAAUUGCAGAAUUCAGUGAAUCAUCGAAACUUUGAACGCACAUUGCGCCCGCUAGUAUUCUGGCGGGCAUGCCUGUCCGAGCGUCAUUUCAACCCUCAAGCCCCCGGGCUUGGUGUUGGGGAUCGGCGAGCCUCCGCGCCCGCCGUCCCCUAAAUCUAGUGGCGGUCUCGCUGUAGCUUCCUCUGCGUAGUAGCACACCUCGCACUGGGAAACAGCGCGGCCACGCCGUUAAACCCCCAACUUCUGAACGUUUGACCUCGGAUCAGGUAGGAAUACCCGCUGAACUUAAGCAUAUCAAUAAGC